RNAcentral lists this ribosomal RNA (495 nucleotides) under uncultured bacterium. RNAcentral's name for it is "partial 16S ribosomal RNA". It matches the Rfam family "Bacterial small subunit ribosomal RNA", at positions 30 to 507 of the family's 1533-position model. The record is from RNAcentral.
UGACCGCUGGCGGCGUGCCUACUACAUGCAAGUCGAGCGAACGGACGCGAAGCUUGCUUCUCUGAUGUUAGCGGCGGACGGGUGAGUAACACGUGGAUAACCUACCUAUAAGACUGGGAUAACUUCGGGAAACCGGAGCUAAUACCGGAUAAUAUUUUGAACCGCAUGGUUCAAAAGUGAAAGACGGUCCUGCUGUCACUUAUAGAUGGAUCCGCGCUGCAUUAGCUAGUUGGUAAGGUAACGGCUUACCAAGGCAACGAUGCAUAGCCGACCUGAGAGGGUAAUCGGCCACACUGGAACUGAGACACGGUCCAGACUCCUACGGGAGGCAGCAGUAGGGAAUCUUCCGCAAUGGGCGAAAGCCUGACGGAGCAACGCCGCGUGAGUGAUGAAGGUCUUCGGAUCGUAAAACUCUGUUAUUAGGGAAGAACAUAUGUGUAAGUAACUGUGCACAUCUUGACGGUACCUAAUCAGAAAGCCACGGCUAACUACGUG